This 8389-nucleotide long non-coding RNA is filed under the name Brassica napus (rape). RNAcentral describes it as "long non-coding RNA (BNAP_LNC020675)". The record is from RNAcentral. Lineage: Eukaryota; Viridiplantae; Streptophyta; Magnoliopsida; Brassicales; Brassicaceae.
AAUAAAAAAAAACUAAAUUAAAAAUCUAUCUGAAAAAUGUAUAGUAAAAUAAAUAGUAACUAAAUACACAAUAUAAAAAAUAGAAAUAUUAUAUUAUACAAUUAUCGUAAUAUUAGAAUAAAUAAAUAUAAAAUAUAGGAAAAACUAAAUAUUAAGUAAAUAUAGUAUAUAAUAAAUAAAAAUAUUACAUUAAAUAUAUAUCGUAAUAUUAUUAUUGAUAUAAAAUCAAAAAAUUUAGAAUAAAUAAAUAUACAAAAUAAGAAAGAUAAACAGUAAGUAAAUAUACAAUAUUAAAAUUGGAAAAACUAAAUUAAGCAUAUAUCUGAAAAAUGUAUAGUUCAAUAAAUAAUAAGUAAAUAUACAACAUAAAAAUAUUAGAUUAAACAUCUAUUAUAAUAUUAAAAUAACUAAAUAUAAAAUAUACGAACUAUACUAAUAAAAGGGAGCUUUUAAGGCAGCGUCCACAUCAGCGAAAAAAACUUCUUCUAAAAGAUGACACGUGACAUUAAUAAAAAAAACAAAAGUAUACAUAUAAAGAAAAAGAAAUAAUAAUAAAUAUACAAUAUAAGAAAUAGAAAUAUUACAUUAAACAUCUAUCAUAAUUUAUCAUUUGAUAUAAAGCAAGAAAAGUAGAAUAAGUAAAUAUACAAUUAAGAAAUGACUACAUGGUUAACAUUUGAAAAUAAAAAUAGUCCCGCGCAUAGUACGGAUUAACUCCUAGUCUAUAGUAAUAAAAGGGACCUUUUGUGGCUCCGCAGAGCGUCCACAUCAGCGAAAAAAACUUCUCCCGAAAGAUGACACGUGGCAUAAAAUAUAGUUUUACAUUUUAAUAUUACUAAUUUUCGAAAAUUAUAAAUAAUAUGUAAACAUACAACAUAAAAAAAUAGAAAAACUACAUUAAACAUACGUAAAAUUACCAUUUUUCACUUAAAAAAAAGACGGCUUAUCUCUAUAAUGUAACAUUACCGUUUUAUAAAAAAAAAACAAAAAACAUUAUAUAUAAGUUCGAAAAUAAUAAAUAUAUGUAAACAUACAACAUAAAAAUAAAAAUACUACAUUAAACAUAUGUAAGAUUACCAUUUUACAUUUUUAAUUUUAAAAAAUAAUAUGUAAACAUACAACAUAAAAAAUGGAAAAACUACAUUAAACAUAUGUAAGAUUACUAUUUUUCACUAAAAAAAAGACGGUUUAUCUCCAUAAUGUAACAUUACUAUUUUGUAAAAAAAAAAAAAAAAACUUCCCCCGAAAGAUGACACGUGGCAUAAAAUAUAGUUUUACAUUUUAAUAUUACUAAUUUUCGAAAAUUAUAAAUAAUAUGUAAAUAUACAACAUAUAAAAUGAAAAAACUACAUUAAAUAUAUGUAAGAUUACCAUUUUUCACUUAAAAAAAAGACGGUUUAUCUCCAUAAUGUAACAUUACCGUUUUAUAAAAAAAAACAUUAUAUAUAAUUUUGAAAAUAAUAAAUAUAUGUAAACAUACAACAUAAAAAAUAGAAAUACUACAUUAAACAUAUGUAAGAUUACCAUUUUACAUUUUUAAUUUUAAAAAAUAAUAUGUAAACAUACAACAUAAAAAAUAGAAAAACUACAAUAAACAUAUGAAAUUCAGAUUAAACAGCUGAGGCGAGAGUUAGCUCAAUUGCUCGAAGCUGGGAACAGCUUUACCAAUGGUGAAUUCACGCCUGAAGAUCCUCAAGAACAAAAAGGAGAUUCAGAUUAAACAGCUGAGGCAAGAGUUAGCUCAAUUGCUCGAAGCUUGGAACACCCCUAAGAUAGAAUUCGGGUAAGAACAACUUGAAUCUUUGUUUCAAUCAUGUUGUGUAUUGAUCACAUUGUGAAUGUAUCCACACUACUUUUGGUUUCACUCAUGUUGUUUGUUGAUGAGAUUGUGAAUGUGGUUUUGUUAUGUUUCUCUUUCUAUCUCUCAGGUGGAAGAGAAGACAGUGGCUGCCUAUGAACUCAUUGGCAUCUACUGCGAACUCAUUGUUGUUCUUUAGGUGUUAUCGGGUCUCAAAAGUAAGCACAAGUUAGCUUCUUUUUGGUGAACAUUAUUAUAAAGUCUUUGUUUUUUGUUGUGUGUAUAAUGUGCUGAUCCUUGUGAUCAAUACUUACAGAAACUGCCCCAUUGAUCUGAAAUAAGCGGUUGCGAGCGUAUUAUUCACUUCCCAGAGGUUAUCAGAUGUCCCUGAGCUCUCAGAAAUCGUUAAGCAAUUCACGACCAAGUACGGGAAGGAUUUUGCUACGUCUGCUAUUGAGCUUCGUCCAGAUUCUGGUGUGAGCCGCCUGGUAAGUGGUUGCAUCCUAUUCCUGGUGUUGAUUUUGUCCUAAGAACUGUUCUUGAUUAUGAUCUUGUUUAUGUUUCUAUAUGUGUGAAUUCCUUUUGAUAUACUCACUCUAUCUUUUGUUAAUGUGAAUCUGUCUGUGGUUCUCACUCUUGAAAGCUCAUAUGUUUUAUUUUGGUUCCACUUACUGUGCUUGAUCUUACUAGGUAUGUGGAUAUGAUUUCAAAUCCUGAAGUGGCUUAUGUGCUCCGCAAAAGACAGGCACCGGAGGUUAUGAACGAGAUGAGUGAGGUAUGAAAUCCAAAAGUUAAACAUAACUUAUCUGUCAGUCUUACUAACGAAUUAUUUAUAAUAUUGUAACUAAAAGUUAAACAUUUAUCAUAAUAUUACCAUUAGAUAUAAAAGUAAUAAAAUUAGAUUAAGCAAAUAUAAAAUAUAAGAAACAAUAAAUAAUAAAUCCCUUUAUAAAAAACAAUAAAUAAUAAGUAAAUAUACAAUAUAAAAAAUGGAAAAAUUACAUUAAACAUCUAUCUAAAAAAUGUAUAAUUUUACAAUUUUACUAUUUCCAAAUAUUCUAAGUAAAUUUAUAAUAUAAAAAUCAAUAAUAAGUAAAUAUACAAUAUAAGAAAUAGAAAUAUUACAUUAAACAUUUAUCGUAAUAUUAUCAUUUAAUAUAAAAGCAAACAAAUUAGAAUAACUAAAUAUAGAAUAUAAGAAAAAUAAACAAUAAGUAAAUAUACAAUAUAAGAAAUAGAAAUAUUACAUUAAACAUUUAUCGUAAUAUUAUCAUUUAAUAUAAAAGCAAACAAAUUAGAAUAACUAAAUAUAGAAUAUAAGAAAAAUAAACAAUAAGUAAAUAUACAAUAUAAAAAUAUAAAUAUUACAUUAAACAUCAAUCGUAAUAUUAGAAUAAGUAAAUAUGCAAUAUAAAAAAAACAAAUAAUAAGUAAAUAUGCAGUAGAAGAAAUACAAAUAUUACGUUCAAAAUUUAUCUCAAUAUUGUUAUUUAAUAUAAACGUAAAAAUAUUAGAAUUAAUAAAUAUACAAUAUAAUAAAAAAAUAAAAAAUAAUUAAAUGUACAAUAUAAGAAAAAGAAUAUUACAUUAAAUAUCUAGCGUAAUAUUAGUAUUCGUAAAUAUACAAUAUAGAAGAAAUAAAUAAUAAACAAAUAUAUAAUAUAAGAAGUAGAAAAAGUAUAUUAACUAUCUAUCUGAAAAAUGUUAAAUUAAAUAAAUAAUAAGAAAAUAAUACAUUAAAAAUAUAUUUUAGUAUUACCAUUUGAUAUAAAACAAUAAGAAUAGUUAGAUAAUUAACAUUUAAAAAUUAAUAUAGUUCUGUGCGUAGCGCGGAUAAAUCCCUAGUCUAUAAUAUAAUAGGAGAGUUGAGUCUUUCCUAAAGCGACACGUCAGUAUUUUGCAUGUGGUUCGAAUCCGGGCUAUUGAGAUAUAAACACCAACACUUAUACCACUAAACUAAAGGAUAUUUUGUACAUCGAUGGCCGAAACUAAUAUAUAUUUAUGAAGGUCAGAAACCUUUGAUUCUUCAGUUUUCUUUGUGAGCCGGACCUACAAGUGUAUUAUGAGUUUCAUUUUUAAACGAGGUUCAUCACGUUAUAUGAAAAAAACAACAAUUAUAGUUUUUCCAUAUUGUAAACUGUCUUCGUUUAACAUGAGUUAGGGUUCUUUUCAUCAUUGUCUUAGACAAGUCUGAGUUACAGAGUUGCGCUGUGUGUCUGUUCGUAAUCUAUUUUUUCACCGGUGAACUCUUCAUCUCCCCAUCUUAAAUCGCUUGAUCUUAAAUGUUCCUGAUUUGUAGCCUUUCUGUAAACCCUAUAUAUAUGAUUCUCAUCUUUGAUGAACUCAAUCUGCAUCUCCACAAAACUCAUUGAUUCCUUUUAGCUUUAACGAUCUUCUAGAAAAUGUCUCUCUGCCUCUCCAGUUCCUCAAACCGGUGUUCCCGGCAUCCGUCACUCAACCUUCGAGUCUCUCUGUGUUAGUAUUGUAGUAGUCAGAGCAUAGCCUCUAACUUCCUCGCUUAUGGGAUUCCCUGAACUUCAAGAAAGACAAUAAGUUUAUGGGAAUCACGGUUCUCUUCCUUGAUGAAAAAGUAAGUUGAUCUUCGAUUUAUCACACUUAUUUAAUAUAAUUGUUUUUAAUUGAUUUUCUGAUUCUUUGUUAAAUAAUAUUAUUUGCAGAUUCCGUGAUUCAUGGAUUUAUUCCCGCCAGACGUGCUAAUCAUUACAUGCCAUCUUUGAAAGUCGGUUCUAUUGUGAAAGUCGAUCGUUUUGAGGUUGCUAGGUGCUCAAGCAUGUACAAGAUAAUUGAUCAUCCAUUCCUCAUUCGUUUCAUCUCACCAACUAUUAUUGAAAGUCAUCACGGGUGCUCCUGAGAUCAAUCUCCAAUCAUAAUUAGACUGUUUGACAAUUUCCAAGUGCUUGCGAACACAAACCUAGAACUUUCAGGUAUAUUAUUAUAUUGCAUCUGGGUUUAUAAUAUGUUCUGUUAUCAUAACUGAUAUUUAAACUCGUAGAUGUGGUUGGGCAAAUCCGUUCUGUCCAAGGCUCUGACCUUAGCAAAGAAACAACUCGAGUCGUUAUCCGUCUCCUCAUUGAUCUGUAAGAAACAAUCAACACAUAAUUCUCUUUAUAUUAUUAUCUAUAUUGUGCUAACAUCAAUAAUCAAAAAUAUUUCCUACCCAAAUUUUGUGGUCGUCUAUUUAUUUCUCUUACUUAUCAAACUAAUUUUACACAAACCUUUAUUUUACAGCUUAAAAUAAAACACAACAACCCAAAUAAUCAAAACACCAAAAACUAGAAUUCCAAAAAAGACGAAUCAUUAAUGAUCACCUCUCUUUUUUUGUCUAAUCUUAGAAAUAAACUUCAAAACAAAUAUAUCAAACCAAUCACCUCAACUAAAACUCAACGACACAUAUAUCGAGUCAGCUAAACAAAUACAAACUACACGGCCAUCUAUUUAACAAUUUACAAAAUUACUUUCGCAACGAUACAUACAUCGAGUCAGCUAAACAAAUACAAACUACACGGCCAGCUAUUUAACAAUUAACAAACUUACUUUCGCAACGAAGAAGACGAAGACGACAACCAAGAUCAGUGAAAUUACCUAAACAAAAAAAAGCAAAGUAAGUUAUGAACUCUGAUAAAUACAACUAACAAUGAUUUUUGUUUAUAUAUUACCCAUCAAAUAAAAGAUAAACAAACACAGUCACAACAUGAGAUACAAGAGACAAUCCCGACAGACACAAAGGCGGCAACAACAGCUCCACCCGCCACUUCUCUUGUCUUAUAAAAAUAGCUUACAUGCCCAAUGUCAACAGGCUAAUGCUAUUGUCUUCUUAUGAGAAAUACAUAAAUUCGUUUAAAACUCAUUAAAGCCCAAAUACUCAGAACUGUCACUCAUUUUAUAGUUAUUUCUACAAGUCUUCAUGUAUUUUUUUUAAAGGUCCGGUAAGAGCAACACGUUUAAAAAUAAAAUAAAAACAUAUAACAAACAUAAUAAGGAUAAUAAAAAUUAUUACUUAAAACACACAACUUACACAACUAAACUGGAGAAAAAAUAUCCAGAAACAAAAGGUACUCUCAACAACUUUAAUAUAAUUUAUGUACUCUCAACAGUACAAGAAACAAAUUAAAAAGACAAACAAACAAUAAGUCUCAGUGACACAGCAAACAACAAUACGAACUAUAUCAAUCACAUUUCUAACACAGUUUAGUCUUUCAUAAGUGGAGAACAAUGCAUACACAGUUCAUCAUCACAACUCUAACCAUAUAACAAUAAAAAAACUUGAAAAACAACUCAAAACGCAAAAUUCACAACUACAAUAACCCUAGCAAAAUAUUGAGAUGAAACAAGAACUCUCUCCACAACCCCGUGCUUGCACAGAGGCAAUGCCCCUAGUAAUAAUAACUCGUCGGUGUACCAGUGUACUCUUUUUUUCUUAUUCUUCUUCUCAGUCAAGUGUAUUCUUUUUUAGUCAAAUUGUCUAAAAUUACGAAAAAGUAGUUACCCUAAAUUUUAGAUUUAUUUAUUAAAAAUCUUAAUUGGUAAAUCAAAUGAGUUUUUUUCUUACAAAAACAAAAAUUCAAAUAUUGAUUGGAUAGAAAGUAAUUUUUGGAGAAACAAAAACAAAAAGAUAUUUCACAAAACACAAACAAUUAUCAUCUAGUUUAUUUAUUUAUUUAUUAGUAUCAAUAUAUAUAUAUAUAUAUAUAUAUAUAAUCAAUCACAGAUGAAAUCAAUAUAUAUGUACAUCUAAUAAUUAAAAUUAUAUAUAUAUAUAUUGUACACACACCUUCCAAAACAAAAACAAUCGGCUAGUCCUUAGCACCCAACAUAGCUUGAUUGUGUACGGACCAACAUGUUACAUAGACACACACAUAAGACUAUAAUACACAACUUCAUAUUUGAUAAUCAUCUUCAUUACUCCCUAGGUAUAUAACCAUUAACUCUUACUUGAUACUAUUUGAUUAUAGGGUGGUUUUGUCUUUAGCUACAUUUUUAUUUAAUACUUACAACAGCUAUUAAUAUACAAUAAAAUAUGAAAAGUAAAUAAGAAAAAUUAUCUACAAGAAGAACAAUAUUCCCGAGAUAAGAUAAUUAUUACUAGUUUUUUUUUGAAGAAAAUAAUUAUUAUUACUAGUUGAUAAUGUAUUAUAUUUCUUCACUCACUCAUGUCGAUCUGGAGGUUGCUGUAACACCGUUAAACUUAAACAUCCAAUCCUCUGUUUAUGGCAUGUCUCAUGUAUUCUUUUGAUGUGAGAUAUAGUGGAAAGUCUAUAAAGUAAUAUACGAUAAAUUAAUAAACGUUAUAAACUAAUAAUUUUUUUUUGGCUUCGAAUUGGACCGGUUCAAAAUAUGACACAAAUCGAUAAAAUAAUAAGAUAAUAAUUUUUAAAAAUUUAUGUAAAUAUAUGGUCCCACUAAAAUCAUAAAUUAAUAAUCUAUUUAUAUAUAUUUUUUAUAUAAGUACAAGCUAAACAUUAUAUUGUUGGUUUUAUAUUCACAAUAAAUUAUCUAUAUUUUUUAAAAAAAUGUAAUAUAUUUUGGCAAUAUUUAGUAAGAUUAUAUCGAAAACCACAUUCGAAUUCUAUGAAACAUAAAAAUAUACACCAGAUAAUAUGGUAAAACAAUAUGAAAGUAUAAUUUCUAAAAUUUAAUUAAUGUAUAUACAGUAAAAUAAACUAUUUUCAUAUUUUAUAAAUAAAAAUAGAAAAAAUAAAAAUAUACUUUUUAUAAAUUAAUAAAUAACAUAGUCCCAACAUUAUUAAUUUAUAGAAUUUUUACUGUAUAUACAAUUUAUGUCCUAUACUUAAUACGUUGAGCGUAUGAACUGAUGAAUACAUAGUUGAUAGUUACAAAUACCCUAUAGCAGAAAACGAUUAGGUACAUUACAUAAGUACAUCAUAUUAGUAUAUAAUACGAAUAGUAUAAUACAAAUGGAUUAUAUAAUGCAUGUUAAGGGAAAGCUUUUGGUGGAGGAGAGGCGGCUUUUGGACGACGCAAAGAGCCGUUUUUCACUACUUAUCUUCGUGGAAUCUUCAAAAGCAUAUCUUCUUUUUCUUCACAUUUGGUUCAAUAAAAAUACUAACAAGGUAUGUCUACUGUGUUUUGUGGAUGAUGGCCUAGAACAAUGAAAUAUACCAAUAAUAUCUUUUCAUUUUGGGCAAAUCUCCAAAAUAACAUUUUUCUAAGUUUAUAUCACAAAAAUAGCAUUCCAAAACUAAAAUGACCAAAAUAACACCUUUUUAAGUUUAUCCUUUGAAAAUUUUAAUUUUUUUAUUUUUCAAAAUUUGAAAUUUUAUCCCCAAAACCUCAUUUCUCAACUCUAAACCCUAAACUCUAAACUCUAAACCCUAAACCCUAAACCCUAAACCCUAAACCCUAAACUCUAAACCCUAAACCCUAAACUCUAAACCCUAAACCCUAAACCCUAAAUCAUAAACCCCACCAUUUAACUCUAAACCCUAAACCCUAAAUCCUAAACCCCACCAUUUAACUCUAAACCCUAAGUUUGUGACUUUUGAUAAAACAUUAAGUGUUAUUUUUGUGACUUUUGACCUUGAAUACUAGUUUGGGAACAAAAACUUGAUU